GCCCCCAUAGCUCAGGGGAUAGAGCGCUACCCUCCGGAGGUAGAGGCGGCAGUUCGAUUCUGCCUGGGGGCA
RNAcentral lists this transfer RNA (72 nucleotides) under Microbacteriaceae bacterium. Its description in RNAcentral is "tRNA-Arg". It matches the Rfam family "tRNA". Rfam says of the family: Transfer RNA (tRNA) molecules are approximately 80 nucleotides in length. Their secondary structure includes four short double-helical elements and three loops (D, anti-codon, and T loops). The record is from RNAcentral. Lineage: Bacteria; Bacillati; Actinomycetota; Actinomycetes; Micrococcales; Microbacteriaceae.